AUUGAACGCUGGCGGCAGGCCUAACACAUGCCAGUCGAACGGUAACAGGAAGAAGCUUGCUUCUUUGCUGACGAGUGGCGGACGGGUGAGUAAUGUCUGGGAAACUGCCUGAUGGAGGGGGAUAACUACUGGAAACGGUAGCUAAUACCGCAUAACGUCGCAAGACCAAAGAGGGGGACCUUCGGGCCUCUUGCCAUCGGAUGUGCCCAGAUGGGAUUAGCUAGUAGGUGGGGUAACGGCUCACCUAGGCGACGAUCCCUAGCUGGUCUGAGAGGAUGACCAGCCACACUGGAACUGAGGCACGGUCCAGACUCCUACGGGAGGCAGCAGUGGGGAAUAUUGCACAAUGGGCGCAAGCCUGAUGCAGCCAUGCCGCGUGUAUGAAGAAGGCCUUCGGGUUGUAAAGUACUUUCAGCGGGGAGGAAGGGAGUAAAGUUAAUACCUUUGCUCAUUGACGUUACCCGCAGAAGAAGCACCGGCUAACUCCGUG
Molecule: ribosomal RNA, 490 nt
Filed under: uncultured bacterium
Lineage: Bacteria
Description: partial 16S ribosomal RNA
Rfam family: Bacterial small subunit ribosomal RNA
Source: RNAcentral